RNAcentral lists this ribosomal RNA (207 nucleotides) under uncultured bacterium. Its description in RNAcentral is "partial 16S ribosomal RNA". It matches the Rfam family "Bacterial small subunit ribosomal RNA", at positions 568 to 774 of the family's 1533-position model. The record is from RNAcentral.
CGUGUAGGCGGCUUGGUAAGUCCGCUCUGAAAGCCCGGGGCUCAACCCCGGGAGGCGGGUGGAUACUGUCAAGCUCGAGUCCGGAAGAGGCGAGUGGAAUUCCCGGUGUAGCGGUGAAAUGCGCAGAUAUCGGGAGGAACACCAAUGGCGAAGGCAGCUCGCUGGGACGUGACUGACGCUGAGACGCGAAAGCGUGGGGAGCAAACA